Non-coding RNA from Pelobates cultripes (western spadefoot toad), 212 nucleotides. NCBI's taxonomy places the organism in Eukaryota, Metazoa, Chordata, Amphibia, Anura, Pelobatidae. The record is from the annotation of a GenBank genome assembly.
CAGAUAUUGAAGCAUGAUUUAUAAAUCCAGGAAACAUGCUACAUCAUUCCAGCUGAUGCUUGGCAUUGCACAUGUAGAUAUCAGGCUUCUGUACAGCUGUUUGGCCAUGGAAACCAUCUCAUAAAGCUCCUGAUACACAGUUUUUGUUCCGAUAUUACUUCCAGAGGCGGUUUGGAACUUUGUAGUUAGUGAUUUAUCAGCUUUCAUAUUCU